UUCGGAGGUCAGAGCUCGGCGGGGUGCGGCUAGUGGCGGAGCGCGCUGCGAGGGAGGGCUUUCCACUGUCGCUGGCGUGAACUCGCGUGCCCGGCUUCACCAGGUACUGCCUUCUAACUUGAGUUGGCCAUUUCCACAUGUCAGAUAGGACCAACUUGCCUUUUAACUACCCGUGUGAUACUUAAACACUGUUGCCGGUAUCACAGCUUUUCUUCAAAACAGGAUCUUGCUCUGUCACCCAGGCUGGAGUACAGUAGCACCAUCGCUGCUCACUGUAGCCUCGACCUGCUGGGCUCAAGUGAUCCUCCCAUCUCAGCCUCCUGAGUAGGGGACUACAGACAGGCACCACCAUGAUCCGGUAUCACCAGUCUGUGGGUACAAAAGGAGAGUAACAUGAACGAUUCAAAUUCCACUGGCUCUUGUUCCCAUGGAUUCACAGAAGUUCAGCCCCAUUUCAAAACUCCACAUUUGCUUCUGGGAAGCCCAUUCUGGAAAGUUUCUCUGUGGCCCUCUCCAGAAGGCAGCGCGACUUCCACCCAGCAACACAAGUCUCUGCAGCACCUGCCCCAGCAGCGCCAGCUGAG
RNAcentral lists this long non-coding RNA (584 nucleotides) under Pan troglodytes (chimpanzee). RNAcentral describes it as "lincRNA". Lineage: Eukaryota; Metazoa; Chordata; Mammalia; Primates; Hominidae. The record is from RNAcentral.